UAGCACGCGUAUCAUCACGAUUGUUUGCCUGUACAGAAGAAUGAUAAAUGUAUCAAAAUGAAAAAAGAAGCACCUGCUUUCGCUCUAUAAAAUGUGAAUGCGGCUAAGGCAACAUUCACGCAACGCUUGUGACAAGGUCGACAUGUAAUUCAUAUUUUUUACGCAACAGUAAAAAACCGAUUCAUCUUAUUCGUCCCUCGACCUAGAUACUCCUGGUGAGACGAUAGGAACGGUGCGCCAAUAUAAUGCAACGUUGCGCUUCAGGAAACUUCUUUCCCGCUAGAGAAACGUGAUAAGUAAAAGUGGAUGUUCAAUCAACUGUUGUGAAAUUAGAUAUAGGCUGUAACGGUAUCUAUCUAUGACUUUAAUCGUAUCACUGAGAAGUAUAGAAAGUUUUAUAUUUUUCUGAAUAUUUUCUUAAGGUUUGUGUAUACAUAUACGCAAUAUUUGAAAAAGUAAUUAUGUUAUAAUUAUAUGAUAGAAAUUAUAUAUCACAUAUUUUGUUCAAACUGAGCAGACCUAAAACGAAAAGUUAGCAUUACAUAGAACGAUUAUCGUCAUUGUUCGUUAUAUAAAGUGAGAUCGAGAUGGAGAAAUUGCAUUUAGGAUAAGAAUAUCAAGAAAUAAAACUUCAAAGUGACUUUAAGAGAGGAUAUCCAUGCUACAAAGAAUGAGCAGACGCUUUCGCGCUGAUCUCCUUUUGCAACAGACUUUCCAUGAGCCGAUUUAAAUGUAAUUAUCUUUCAAGUUGCGGAUCUCCAUAGGAUGUUUAGAUGAAAAUUUAAUAAAUAAAGAUUUUGACAUUUAUUUAGAAUAUAAGAUACUAAGUAAUACAAAAUGACAAAUGCAACGUAAUAUAUAUACACGAAUGGCGAAUGUUGUUCUAUUUCGGAGAUUUUUACGUACCACAUUUAAAGGAUUAAAUGCCACACCAUU
Ooceraea biroi (clonal raider ant) is the source of this 936-nucleotide long non-coding RNA. RefSeq lists it as uncharacterized. The record is from RefSeq and is a predicted model, not a curated record. Lineage: Eukaryota; Metazoa; Arthropoda; Insecta; Hymenoptera; Formicidae.